Ribosomal RNA from Gaeumannomyces graminis, 125 nucleotides. The record is from Rfam. Lineage: Eukaryota; Fungi; Ascomycota; Sordariomycetes; Magnaporthales; Magnaporthaceae.
AGAUGCCACACCAUACCAACUGGAAUAUACGGGAUCCCGUCCGCUCUCCCCUAGUCAAGCUAGUGAGGGCCGAACUGGUACUUAAGGAGCCGAUGGGAUCCCAGAACUUUAGAACCUUGUAUCUU